RNAcentral lists this transfer RNA (19 nucleotides) under Senega cruciata. RNAcentral describes it as "Polygala cruciata partial tRNA-Arg". RNAcentral also lists the same sequence under 1 other name. Lineage: Eukaryota; Viridiplantae; Streptophyta; Magnoliopsida; Fabales; Polygalaceae. The record is from RNAcentral.
GGGCCUGUAGCUCAGAGGA